Long non-coding RNA from Sander lucioperca (pikeperch), 286 nucleotides. RefSeq lists it as uncharacterized. The record is from RefSeq and is a predicted model, not a curated record. The transcript is spliced from 2 exons. Lineage: Eukaryota; Metazoa; Chordata; Actinopteri; Perciformes; Percidae.
AGAAACGCAGAAGAGGACAGUCAGAUCGGUGAGCUGAAUAUGACAACCAGCUGGACCUGACCCACGCGGACCUGAAGAAGCGUAUAAGUGACGGACCUGAAGAAGAUCUGGAGGAGUGGGGCGAGUCCCUGCAAAGGCUGCGCCGAAAAGUCCGACUUCAUCCGCAAAAUCACAGAGCUAAGGCCCAAGUUUGCUCCCGCAGCCGCCAGUGCACGGACAGAUCUGUAACGGGGAACAAACGCACAACGCAACACACGCACAACACACACACACAACUUUGGACUUG